This 449-nucleotide ribosomal RNA is filed under the name uncultured bacterium. RNAcentral describes it as "bacterial SSU rRNA". It matches the Rfam family "Bacterial small subunit ribosomal RNA", at positions 328 to 792 of the family's 1533-position model. The record is from RNAcentral.
CUCUGUGACUCCUACGGGAGGCAGCAGUGGGGAAUAUUGCACAAUGGGCGCAAGCCUGAUGCAGCAACGCCGUGUGAGUGAAGAAGGUUUUCGGAUCGUAAAACUCUGUCCUAAGGGAAGAAACAAAUGACGGUACCUUAGGAGGAAGCCCCGGCUAACUACGUGCCAGCAGCCGCGGUAAUACGUAGGGGGCAAGCGUUAUCCGGAAUCACUGGGCGUAAAGGGUGCGUAGGCGGCUUAGCAAGCCAGGGGUGAAAGGCAUUGGCUCAACCAAUGUAAGCCUUUGGAACUGUUAAGCUUGAGUGCAGGAGAGGUAAGUGGAAUUCCUAGUGUAGAGGUGAAAUUCGUAGAUAUUAGGAGGAACACCAGUGGCGAAGGCGACUUACUGGACUGUAACUGACGCUGAUGCACGAAAGCGUGGGUAGCGAACAGGAUUAGAUACCCUGGUA